CUGAGCUUCAAUGUCCCGGGAGGGGCGCGCAUCCCCCUCGCCCCCCAGCUCUCUUUUCCUGGGACGUCGCCUGAAUCCCGAGUUAAAGGUACAGCUCUCCCCAUCAUCCUCUCGGCUGGGACUGCAAGCACCUGCUGCGAUGCCCUGAUAGAAGCUGCUAAGCACAGCAACACCUCAGCCAGACGGGCGAGGAGGGAGGGUUUGCUUCUGCAGGCUGUGCGGGCUGCCACGCUGGGUACAGGGAAUGCAGCAAGAGAUGGCUGGAGUCACCAGCUUCUGCAAAUAAAAGCUGCUGAUUAUA
Long non-coding RNA from Melospiza georgiana, 301 nucleotides. RefSeq lists it as uncharacterized. The transcript has 2 exons. NCBI's taxonomy places the organism in Eukaryota, Metazoa, Chordata, Aves, Passeriformes, Passerellidae. The record is from RefSeq and is a predicted model, not a curated record.